GUCUGUGUAGAUUAUAUAAAAAUCAUGAUGCUGUUAACUUCAAGAAGAGUUUGACUCCAUAGUCG
This 65-nucleotide transfer RNA is filed under the name Fimbriaria fasciolaris. Its description in RNAcentral is "tRNA-Asn". Lineage: Eukaryota; Metazoa; Platyhelminthes; Cestoda; Cyclophyllidea; Hymenolepididae. The record is from RNAcentral.